This 908-nucleotide ribosomal RNA is filed under the name Micrococcus lylae. RNAcentral describes it as "bacterial SSU rRNA". It matches the Rfam family "Bacterial small subunit ribosomal RNA", at positions 321 to 1251 of the family's 1533-position model. Lineage: Bacteria; Bacillati; Actinomycetota; Actinomycetes; Micrococcales; Micrococcaceae. The record is from RNAcentral.
GAGACACGCCCAGACUCCUACGGGAGGCAGCAGUGGGGAAUAUUGCACAAUGGGCGCAAGCCUGAUGCAGCGACGCCGCGUGAGGGAUGACGGCCUUCGGGUUGUAAACCUCUUUCAUAGGGAAGAAGCGAAAGUGACGGUACCUGCAGAAGAAGCACCGGCUAACUACGUGCCAGCAGCCGCGGUAAUACGUAGGUGCGAGCGUUAUCCGGAAUUAUUGGGCGUAAAGAGCUCGUAGGCGGUUUGUCGCGUCUGCCGUGAAAGUCCGGGGCUUAACUCCGGAUCUGCGUGGGUACGGGCAGACUAGAGUGCAGUAGGGGAGACUGGAAUUCCUGGUGUAGCGGUGGAAUCGCAGAUAUCAGGAGGAACACCGAUGGCGAAGGCAGGUCUCUGGGCUGUAACUGACGCUGAGGAGCGAAAGCAUGGGGAGCGAACAGAUUAGAUACCCUGGUAGUCCAUGCCGUAAACGUUUGGCACUAGGUGUGGGGGCCAUUCCACGGUUUCCGCGCCGCAGCUAACGCAUAAGUGCCCCGCCUGGGGAGUACGGCCGCAAGGCUAAAACUCAAAGGAAUUGACGGGGGCCGCACAAGCGGCGGAGCAUGCGGAUUAAUUCGAUGCAACGCGAAGAACCUUACCAAGGCUUGACAUGUUCUCGUUCGCCGUAGAGAUACGUUUCCCCUUUGGGGCGGGUUCACAGGUGGUGCAUGGUUGUCGUCAGCUCGUGUCGUGAGAUGUUGGGUAAGUCCCGCAACGAGCGCAACCCCUGUUCUAUGUUGCCAGCACGUGAUGGUGGGGACUCAUGGGAGACUGCCGGGGUCAACUCGGAGGAAGUGGGGACGACGUCAAAUCAUCAUGCCCCUUAUGUCUUGGGCUUCACGCAUGCUACAAUGGCCGGUACAAUGGUUGCG